Molecule: ribosomal RNA, 606 nt
Filed under: uncultured bacterium
Lineage: Bacteria
Description: bacterial SSU rRNA
Rfam family: Bacterial small subunit ribosomal RNA
Source: RNAcentral
CAGACUCCUACGGGAGGCAGCAGUGGGGAAUCUUCCGCAAUGGACGAAAGUCUGACGGAGCAACGCCGCGUGAGUGAUGACGGCCUUCGGGUUGUAAAGCUCUGUUAAUCGGGACGAAAGGCCUUCUUGCGAAUAGUGAGAAGGAUUGACGGUACCGGAAUAGAAAGCCACGGCUAACUACGUGCCAGCAGCCGCGGUAAUACGUAGGUGGCAAGCGUUGUCCGGAAUUAUUGGGCGUAAAGCGCGCGCAGGCGGAUAGGUCAGUCUGUCUUAAAAGUUCGGGGCUUAACCCCGUGAUGGGAUGGAAACUGCCAAUCUAGAGUAUCGGAGAGGAAAGUGGAAUUCCUAGUGUAGCGGUGAAAUGCGUAGAUAUUAGGAAGAACACCAGUGGCGAAGGCGACUUUCUGGACGAAAACUGACGCUGAGGCGCGAAAGCCAGGGGAGCGAACGGGAUUAGAUACCCCGGUAGUCCUGGCCGUAAACGAUGGGUACUAGGUGUAGGAGGUAUCGACCCCUUCUGUGCCGGAGUUAACGCAAUAAGUACCCCGCCUGGGGAGUACGACCGCAAGGUUGAAACUCAGAGGAAUUGACGGGGGCCCGCACAAG